UCUUAGAUGACUGAGUUAAUAGGUGUUAGAUUUUUAAUCUAAAAACGGCAGUAGUGCCUCUAAGAG
RNAcentral lists this transfer RNA (66 nucleotides) under Ceratostoma rorifluum. RNAcentral describes it as "tRNA-Lys". Lineage: Eukaryota; Metazoa; Mollusca; Gastropoda; Neogastropoda; Muricidae. The record is from RNAcentral.